GGUUAAGCGACUAAGCGUACACGGUGGAUGCCUAGGCAAUCAGAGGCGAUGAAGGACGUGCUAAUCUGCGAUAAGCGUCGGUAAGGUGAUAUGAACCGUGAUAACCGACGAUUUCCGAAUGGGGAAACCCAGUGCAAUUCGUUGCACUAUCGUUUGAUGAAUACAUAGUCAAACGAAGCGAACCGGGGGAACUGAAACAUCUCAGUACCCCGAGGAAAAGAAAUCAACCGAGAUUCCCCUAGUAGCGGCGAGCGAACGGGGAGCAGCCCAGAGUCUUAAUCA
RNAcentral lists this ribosomal RNA (282 nucleotides) under Providencia rettgeri. Its description in RNAcentral is "partial 23S ribosomal RNA". It matches the Rfam family "Bacterial large subunit ribosomal RNA", at positions 1 to 283 of the family's 2925-position model. The record is from RNAcentral. Lineage: Bacteria; Pseudomonadati; Pseudomonadota; Gammaproteobacteria; Enterobacterales; Morganellaceae.